Molecule: ribosomal RNA, 468 nt
Filed under: uncultured bacterium
Lineage: Bacteria
Description: partial 16S ribosomal RNA
Rfam family: Bacterial small subunit ribosomal RNA
Source: RNAcentral
GACGAACGCUGGCGGCGUGCUUAACACAUGCAAGUCGAACGGAAAGGCCCUGCUUUUGUGGGGUGCUCGAGUGGCGAACGGGUGAGUAACACGUGAGUAACCUGCCCUUGACUUUGGGAUAACUUCAGGAAACUGGGGCUAAUACCGGAUAGGAGCUCCUGCUGCAUGGUGGGGGUUGGAAAGUUUCGGCGGUUGGGGAUGGACUGGCGGCUUAUCAGCUUGUUGGUGGGGUAGUGGCUUACCAAGGCUUUGACGGGUAGCCGGCCUGAGAGGGUGACCGGCCACAUUAGGACUGAGAUACGGCCCAGACUCCUACGGGAGGCAGCAGUGGGGAAUAUUGCACAAUGGGCGGAAGCCUGAUGCAGCAACGCCGCGUGCGUGAUGACGGCCUUCGGGUUGUAAACCGCUUUCGCCUGUGACGAAGCGUGAGUGACGGUAAUGGGUAAAGAAGCACCGGCUAACUACGUG